Long non-coding RNA from Drosophila hydei, 262 nucleotides. RefSeq lists it as uncharacterized. The record is from RefSeq and is a predicted model, not a curated record. NCBI's taxonomy places the organism in Eukaryota, Metazoa, Arthropoda, Insecta, Diptera, Drosophilidae. The transcript has 3 exons.
CAUGUAUAGAACACGGUCUGAAAUUGUUUGUUUGAUUUUUUUGUCAUUUUACAUUUCACAUUUAAAAAACGCACAGAAAUGGAUUUAUGGAUAUUUGGCAGCUAGUGGGCCAUAUCUCACGUCCAGAGGGACACUCCCCUCAACAGCAACACGAAAAAGGUAACAAAUUAAAACGCCAGCACCAUUCGGCUUAUCAGCAUGCUGAUAAUGCACAUGACUGACCAAACCGCUUAUCUUGAUUAAGUGAUCCCCCUCUCAGGCA